Molecule: ribosomal RNA, 497 nt
Filed under: uncultured bacterium
Lineage: Bacteria
Description: partial 16S ribosomal RNA
Rfam family: Bacterial small subunit ribosomal RNA
Source: RNAcentral
GAUGAACGCUGGCGGCGUGCCUAAUACAUGCAAGUCGAGCGAACGGACGAGAAGCUUGCUUCUCUGAUGUUAGCGGCGGACGGGUGAGUAACACGUGGAUAACCUACCUAUAAGACUGGGAUAACUUCGGGAAACCGUAGCUAAUACCGGAUAAUAUUUUGAACCGCAUGGUUCAAAAGUGAAAGACGGUCUUGCUGUCACUUAUAGAUGGAUCCGCGCUGCAUUAGCUAGUUGGUAAGGUAACGGCUUACCAAGGCAACGAUGCAUAGCCGACCUGAGAGGGUGAUCGGCCACACUGGAACUGGGACACGGUCCAGACUCCUACGGGAGGCAGCAGUAGGGAAUUUUCCGCAAUGGGCGAAAGCCUGACGGAGCAACGCCGCGUGAGUGAUGAAGGUCUUCGGAUCGUAAAACUCUGUUAUUAGGGAAGAACAUAUGUGUAAGUAACUGUGCACAUCUUGACGGUACCUAAUCAGAAAGCCACGGCUAACUACGUG